ACGGGGUCUCAAAGAGUUGGACACAACUGAGCGCGCGCGCGCACGCACGCGCGCGCGCACGCACACACACACACACACUCCAAAACAACACAGCACCUGACCUUCCACAGAAACCAAAUGGUGGAUGUAUUGACAGGAAUAAUAAUGUGGCUCGAACUUGGGUUUGUCAAGUAUAGACUUAUAUUUUCAAAAUAUUUAAGGCUAACACAAAUCAAAAUUAAUUUUGUCAGCUACAUUUUUAUUUAGUCUUGAAAGCUUUAUCGAUUUCUAUUAGUUAUCGUGAAACCCAUACAAGGAUUUCAUAAGCAGAAUUUUCAGGAGGUUUUAUGCCCCUUUUUAUAAACCUCUGAUGAAAAAAACAAAUAAAAUAGGGAAAUAGAAAGGUGUAGUUUGCACACUUUGCGUGCUCUCAAACAUCAUCACCUGACUAUAGAUGUGAUCUUUGCUGCUCCAAGUAACAGAAAGCUCACCCCAUAAAAAGGAAUUAACUGGCUCGUAUAACUGAACAGUCUAAUAGUAGACAAAGGUGUAGAUGCAGCUUGGCCCACGGCUCGUAUGUCAGAGUUAGUGUCUAAGUCUUGGUUCUCUUCUUUGUGUUAGCUCCAGUUUCAAACCAUCUCCUCUCAAGAUGGCUGAAGGCAGUUCCUGGACUCUCCCUUGCAGAGAUAGAGCAUCAGGAAACCCUGUUUCCAUCCCCUGUUUUGACUUUAUUCUGACUUGGCACACUGAGUUCAUCUUGGGACCAGCACUGAGUAGCUUAGUUCGGGGCCAAUACCCUGCCCCUAAAACCAAAGGCUUUCCAUGCAGUAUAUGGACUGUCAGGGAGAGGUACGUAUCUGAACAAAACUAGAGACUUUGGAGGCUGGGAGGAAAUCAGCAAAUAUCUCUAGAGUCCCCAUGCCUCUAACGGGAGGAAAACCAGCAGGUUCUGUCUUUGGCACCACCUACCACAGGUCCCUGGUGGCUCAGAUGGUAAAGCGUCUGCCUACAAUGCGGCAAACCCGGGUUCGUUCCCUGGUCAGGAAGAUCCUCUGGAGAAGGCAAUGGCAACCCACUCCUGUACUCUUGCCUGGAAAAUCCCAUGCACGGAGGAGCCUGGUAGGCUACAGUCCAUGGGGUCACAAAGAGUCAGACACGACUGAGCACCUUCACUUUCACUUUCUUUCACCACAGAUCCUUGUAGGAGCAUCGCAGGUCUUAGGUUUCUCCUCGUUACUUCUUGAUCUGUUUUUGCUUCCUUUACCCUUGAUCUCCUCUCUACAGUCCUUGUGUGACUGUUUGCUUUUCUCCAUAUUCACCCAAACACAGAACAUCAUUCUUUUCUCUUACUUUGCUUCAACGUGUUCUAAGAGAAGCAGUGUAUAUGGCAGUCCUUAGCUGAAGGCUGGAGUGAUGAGAAUGAGUUACUUUGUAACACGUUACAGCAUGCUAUUUAAAUUUGAAUGUUAGCUCAUAAAAAACAGCUUUCUAGAUGUAGUUCAUACACCAUAAAAUUCACUCUUAUAAAGUGUACAAUUCAGUGGUUUUUAGUUGUUCGACCAUCACCACUGUCUAAUCGCAUAUCAUUUUCAUCAUCCCAGAAAGAAACCCUGUAUCCAUCAGUGUUCCUCUUCACGUCCCCCCUCUCUCCACACCCUGGCAACCAAUAAUCUGCUCUUUGUCUAUUCUGGACAUUUCAUAUAAAUGGAACCAUGUAAUGUGUGACCUUUUGUGUCUGGCUUCUUUCACUUAGCAUAAGGUUUUCAAGGUGCAUUCAUGUUGGAGCAUUUAUCAACUUCAUUCCUUUUAUGGUAGAACAAUAUUCCAUUGUAUGGGUAUAUAUCAUUUUGUUUAUCCAUUCAUCUAUUGAUGGAUGCUUGUGUAUUUCCACAUUUUAGCUACUAUGAAUGAUCCUGCUGUGAAUGUUGGGGACAUUAGCUUGUUUUAAGGAUGUCUGUACCACAUGUGCGUGGGGAGUUUCUCACUGACUCUCCUGUCUGCACCCCAGCCUCCUGCGGCUUUUGUGCCUGUGCAACCACGGUGACAGCGCUGCCAUCACAGGGAUGAUGAGGUGCUGUUUGCUCUGCUGUCUCCCUUCAGCUGAGGGUGGGUAGAAAGUGGGGUGAUGCCAUCUCACCCCCUUCCUGGUCACACUAUAAUCUCCCCCAGCACAGCAACCCACUGUACCACCCAGGCUCACCAAAGACGGUGUGGCCUUUCUACUUUGGGAAAUGAGAAUUCUCAGAAGACCAACAGAAACACAUGUAGAAAAUGACUGAAAUUACUGGUUAUCAGGAGAGAUGAUGGCCUGAAGCUGUGGGAAGGGAGUGGAUAGGUUGGAAGUGGGCUAAGAUUCUCUAAUGACAUGAUGAGUAGCUUUUUGCUUGUUUCCUGUGGCUUUUGCUCCAAAUGAGAGGUUUCAACUCUCACGUGGUGAAGUGUGCAGUAUAAAUCCAACAUUCAUCAUGCAGGGACUUCCAGGGAGGUGAUUCAGAAGUCCCACCUGCAUGAUGAAGCGAGGUUAGGAAUAGUGGCACCCAAACCAGAAAGAAACAGCGAGUAGAGAAAGAAAACCGAAAGGUGGAAAGGGGACUGUUAUGGAUCAAAUAUUGAUGCACCCUCCCCUGUGUGAUGGUGUUUGGAGGUGGGGCCUUGGAAGAAGAUCAGCCAUGAAGAUGGAGCCCUUUGGAAUGGAUCACUGACCUUAGAAGAGGCAGAGGGAUAGAUGGGCCUCUUUCUACCAAGCAAGGACACAGGGAGAAGUCGGCAGUCUGCAACCGGAAGAAGUUACCCAGAACCAGAUUUGCUGGCAUGCUCAUCUCAGACUUCAGCUUCUAGGAUGUGAGAAAUAAAUAUUUAUUUUUUAAGCCA
Bubalus bubalis (water buffalo) is the source of this 2850-nucleotide long non-coding RNA. RefSeq lists it as uncharacterized. NCBI's taxonomy places the organism in Eukaryota, Metazoa, Chordata, Mammalia, Artiodactyla, Bovidae. The transcript has 2 exons. The record is from RefSeq and is a predicted model, not a curated record.